Helianthus annuus (common sunflower) is the source of this 794-nucleotide long non-coding RNA. RefSeq lists it as uncharacterized. NCBI's taxonomy places the organism in Eukaryota, Viridiplantae, Streptophyta, Magnoliopsida, Asterales, Asteraceae. The transcript has 3 exons. The record is from RefSeq and is a predicted model, not a curated record.
CCUCCAAACGUCACAAUUCAAAAUCGUUUCCGAUCUGUUCCGUUGUGUCACACCACCACAGUUACUCGCCAUCGUGGAACUACCUAGACCGCACUUCGACGUCUUCAGCCGUCCCACACACACCAACGCCACCGCUUUGAACCGUCGUACGGUCCGUUGUAACUACAUAUGCCUUCCAGCACCAUGGCGCCCGUUGCUUCGAUCUAAGAGGUUUGCAUACUUUUUGUGGAUGACUUGAAUUGUGGAUUGUUGCUUUACUUGCUAAACUAAGGUAAUCUGGGAUAAUAUGGGAUUUCAGUGAGGAGCGUUAGGAAGUUGCUGACCAAGAUUCUUUAUUUCAGUAACGUAAUAAAAUGUAAUUAAGAUCUUUUAUUUAAUGUUAUGGAUUGGUUUUAGUUUUGAUAUCUGUAAGAGUGACACGUCAGCCCUAUUCGGGUCGGGGUGUUACAAUUAUGGUAUCAGAGCAAAGGCUCUUUCCUGUAGAAAAUUUAAACCUUAAAAAGUAAACCUGUGAGUUAAUGGGUAGACGUUGGGUUAGGAUUUUACCUUUUGAUUAGUCUUGCUACUCUUCAUUUUGUCAUCUUGGGUCUAUCUGCUAGAGGGGUUUCCUUUCUCUAUCGCUACCAAACUUGUCUACGAUCAUGUUGAGUAUCUGAUUCUAUUUCUGUAUUUGUUGUAUCUAUCAUAUGCAAUAUUCACAUCGGUUUUGUGUCGUCAUUAGUCUCGAUGUCAAUUUUAGUUUUCAAUUUCGAUUCAAAGUUAGUGGUUAGGUAUAUUCAGCAAAUGUUUUAAGU